GGCCGCUCCAAAGGCUCUCUGGGCCUCACUAUCCGUCGACCUUCUACAGUGAUCAACUAUUCUCCGAACUUCUUUCGAACUUUGUCAAUAUCCGACCUUCUCCGACAAUGAGAUUUCUACAGUAAUCAGACUCCAUCCAAGUUUCUAUGGUGGUCGAUCGCCUUCAGGAUUCCAAUCGAGCUCCUGUGAGAGCCGAACUUCUACUACGAGCGGUCCACUCCGAACUUCUACUAUAAGCGGUCUACUCCGAACUCCUACAAUGGGUGGUCUAUCUUGGAUAUCUACUGUAAGCAAAUUUUAUUUGAGUCUCUACUGUAAACACAUUUCUUCCGAACUUCUAUUACAGGUAGACUUCAGCCGAGCUUCUUCGAUGGAUGGACUCUGGCAGCUAAAUUUCUACAAUGAUCGAUCACCUCUGAUGUCUGCCGAACCUCCCCAAUGCCAUCUGAAGUCCCCUGCCGGCCGACCCUCCAGAUUCUUCAUGAAAUUGGACUUCUUCGACGGAUAAUCUUCAAACGAGCUUCCACAUCAGGCGAAUCUCAGAUGGACUUCUCUAGCAAUCGGACUUCUACCGAACUUCACCAACGAAAAGUCUCCAUCCGAG
RNAcentral lists this long non-coding RNA (604 nucleotides) under Elaeis guineensis (African oil palm). RNAcentral's name for it is "long non-coding RNA (EGUI_LNC034831)". The record is from RNAcentral. Lineage: Eukaryota; Viridiplantae; Streptophyta; Magnoliopsida; Arecales; Arecaceae.